ACCUUGUUUUCUUCACAGUUUUGCCUGAGGAAAGAUAAGGAGCUGAGAGUGGGGGGAAUGGAGGCUCUUGAACUCCAGAGGGGGUGCUGAGUAGAGAGAUUUCCCCACCAGUGUGCUGGAUAUGCAGUCAUGGUGUUAUCUGGAGAACAGCUGACAGGCAGAAUGUAAUAAGGAGUGUAGAACCUUUGAGUCUGUGGUUUGCUCUGAUGUCCUCACACAAGACCAUCACAGAUCUUAGGAAGCAGGAGGCAGCUUCCCAUAAAUGAUGUAAAAUGGUGGCGCAAAAGAGGCCACCGAUGACAACAUGGGCAGGGUACUUCCUCAGUGGCCGCUGGUCACAGACAGCUUUUGGUCUUGAUUUCCCAAUGAGCUGUGCUGCGAUAGGGCUUUACCAGAAAGUAAAUAAGCCUUGUCCAAAGCAGUGACAAAGCACUUGGGGUAUCCAUGCAAAGUGCAGUUCCCUCUUGUUCUCUAACUUUGUGGAGCCAAAAUAACUAAGCCAGAGGUGCCAGCAUAGCACCUGGGAUUCAAUCUUCAACUUUUGUUGAUUGAAUUCGCUACUGGUUGACUGUUCAUCUUUCAUUUAGCAGUGCUCCCAAACUGCCUUUGUGAUCUGAAUUCUCACAUCUUUCCUCCCUCAGGGAGUCUGACAGAGACAGCUCAAAUCUCAGUGCCUUUCCCAGCUCCUCACAGUUGGGUUCAUGGAUGCCCUUUACCCUCAGGCUUCAACUUCUACUUUGUCCACAUUUCUACCCUAAGUCUGGAGCAUUUUCUUUGGAUCAGACUUUCGGCUUCAUUCAGGCCUCUAAGGUUCUCACUUCUUUCAGCACAUUUUCCUAGAGAACUACCUGAAGAAUGGUCUCUACCCCUCACCUCCUAAAGUUUGACAUAAUGUGAACCUCCUUCCUUACUGGAAUCAGCACAGUUCUUUGGAAAUUUCUGGAUAUACCACACCCCUACCUCUCUUCCCAACCACCUUAGCCUCAUACACAAGAUCUAGUGAUGUAGCUGGAUCUGCUGAUCACCAGGAUUUUGGAGCCAGUGCCCCCAGCAGGGAGGAACUCCUGGGCAUGUGCCCUGAGUGACAGUUCUGUCUACCAGUCUCUGCCUCUCCUCCAUCUCACCUUUUUUUUGGCUUUUCCCUGAGAGGACCCCCUAGCCCUGUCCAGGACUGUAACCCUGCUGUCAACCCCUUAUCAGGGGCUGUGACCUUUGCUUUCCAAUCUCUUCUGGGCCAGGUCCCUUCUCCGAUACUAGAGACUUUUCCUACAGCUACGCUUUGGUAAGUAGAGUUCUGCCCAUGCACUGAUAUCCCAGUGUUGACCACCUUGGACUCUGUCUACUGCUCUUUGGGCUGAUUGGCUGUCUUGCUGGUCUGUACAGCUAUGCUUCUGGAACAAGACUCUUAGGCUUAGUUGAGCCCCUGUCCUGAAUUUCAUGUUAGCUCUCCAACUGCCUCUGCCUCAAAAAGAGCUUUUAAUAUGCAUUUAUAAAGCUCCAAAAGGGAGAUAGAGAAUAUAACAUUUCCUAGACUUAUUUAACUAGAAAACCUUUUUUUUUUCUGGCUGAAGAAAAUUGUUAAAAUCUGACAGAGUAUGGUGCUUGGUGGAGCACAGUUUUGGGAAGUACAAGGCUUUAUCCUAAAGGAAUGGACAUCAAAUGGAGGAAUUCCAGGUAAAGGUAAUGUGACAGUCAGUGAAAAAAAUUCUUUGGGGAUAGGAAAUGUCUCCUGGGGCUCCUCAUUCAACAAGUGCCCACUGAGCGCCUGCUGUUUAUGUCUCUGCUGGAAUCACACCAUGUGUGUGACUACUUAACUGUGUGUCUGCAGAAGGCCGGCUCUGAUCUGGAGUGGAGCCCAAGGUGGAGAAGGAGGUAGGGUUGCUACAUUCUUUCUCCCAUGUUUAGGUCCUCUUCCCCUUUCCUCCAGUGGAAACAGGAAAUGGUGAAUGGGGUGAUGCCAUCAUGGCCACAGAUACAUCAGCUUUUGGAUCCAAGGAAGGAGGGCUUCUCUGAGGCUUCUUUCCCUAGGUUUGACCUCUUCCAGGAUUUCUCUAGUACUUUUGGGCACCCCAUCUCUCCCACUCUGGGACUGUUCAUCUCCACAUUAGUCCCAGUUCUCACUGCUGGUUCAAGAUUUUGAUUUUACAUAUGGGCAUCAGUGCCAAGUGGUAUGGAGGUCAUUUUUAUGGAAUGGGUAUGACAUUAUAAAUUUUCUACUUUGCCUAUGAAAUCCCUCUUCUUUUAUAGCUCAUGGGCAGUCCAGACUAUAAUAAUUUUUUUCAGUCCUUCAGUGAAGAUAAACCCAUGUCUGGGAAGGGCAGUCUUGCAGCCAUUUAAAUCUGUCAGGGUGGGUGAUUAAGUGCCAAGGGCAUAGCGGGUAACCAAAGUGGAAGCCAUCACUUCCUCUGAAUGUCAUUCUCAACCAGGACAGGAAAAGAUCCCUUGAAGCAGAUAGAAGUCACUAAGACUCUUGACUAAGGCCUUUUGAGACCCUGGUAUAUGGAUCUUUACUGUCAUGAGUGAGAUCUUUGUUUGGCUGAUCUUAACUCAGUUGGCUUGAGCUAAUCAUAGAACAAACUAGACGGAAAGGCUCAGCGUUGAACUUUCCCUUAGGUAUGGUGUUCUCUGAACAUCAGCAAAUAGCAUCCUCCCACCUUAGGGGCCUUGGCCUGUGACAGUUGUCCAUUUCUGCCACUUCCUCUGAAAGACCAUGGUUUUAACUGUGAAGAUCAGUGAGUGAGUUCACUUGCAGGAAGGUGGAAAGAGGGCUUGAAAUGGGCAUUUAGAGAUCUUAAAUAGAGCCAGCCAGUUACUUGUUCAUUCUAUAGGUGUUUAUAAUUAUUAGUUUGUCUAUAACUGCAGAAGGCUUACUUUCCCCAACUAGUCUUUCCUAACAGGCUCCCUACAUGAAGACAUUUCUUUCCUUAGACCUGUUCUCUCCUCCCUCUAUAAACUGUCCCUGGGUGAUGUCAUCUGUGCUUAUCAAAAACUCUCAGAUCUCUAUCUCCAACCUAAAUCUCUCUUCUAGUUCCUGACUCAUGAUGACCAUACACUAUUGAUAUUAUAACCUGGAUGUCUUAAGCCAGAUUACGUUCUUCAUCAGCCCAUCCUCUUCUCCCUAUUCCUGCAUUCCUUCCUAUUUUUAUUCCUCUUUGUUCCUUGAUUCAGGAGCAUCACCAUCUAGGUUGAUCAGUAAACUUGCUUCUGCAUCAGUGUCUUGCACUGUUCCACCACCAAGAAUUUAAUAGGCUCUGAGUGUAAUAUAAGAUGUUUAGGAUGUGUGUAGGUGGUUUGUUUUCUUUUCUUUUUCUUUUCCUUUUCUUUCAUGUAAUUCUCAUCUGCAUGGCAUGUACAGUUGAAUUCCACAGAGAAAUUAACAGAUAGAAAAAAUAAAGGUUAAUCUGAGGUUUAGAUUUUAAGUAAACUGGAAAUUCUGGAAAGGAAACAUCUGAGGGCUAAAACCUUGGGAGAAAGCUUCGUGGAAGAGGUGAGAGUCGACUGAGGACACCUUAGGUGGGGUAGGGACCGCAAGACCCCUUUGGGAGCAUGUGCAAUGGUGAAGGGACAAUCCUCAGCUUGUUUCUUGUGCAAGCAGAGUGAUCAGCACCUCCCCUACCAGCUACUUCUGUUCAUCACUGUUGUACCUCAUGCAGUUUGAUUCUGUUUAAAAGGUUCUGAGACUUGAAUAUCAUAGUGUAACACAUUAGUUAGCUGGAACCAUCUUUUCCCUUAAACUUUUGGCUCAAGGUGUCAUUCUGCAACUUGUGGAAACUCUGAUUCCUUCACCCGGAAUUCACCAGUUUCUUGGGAGCUCAUGUAUUUAUAGUCACUGAUUUUGAUCUCUUGCUCCCAUUAAAUUAGUUCAGAUUAUAGACAGUCUUAUUGUCUCAAGAAUGCUGUUCCUGUUUCCAUCCACAUUGAACCAGAUGGUAGAACUCAAAUACCUCACAGCUCAAAGCCUUUUGUGUGUAGCGGACUUUAUUAAAGUUUGGGUAAUGGAGAGUAUUUUACAUUGCAGCAAAGUAAGCAACUUGAAUUCUCACACUGGCUAUCCCUUUCCCUUAAAGUAAUUUGCCCACCUUUCCAUUAGGGAUUCAUUAAUAUCACCCAUAUAUGUGGCCUUGGUGUCUCUUACAAUCUUAUCUUUCUUUCCUUUGCAAACCUUCCUUACUCUAUUGCCACUAAGCCUCCAAAUACUUCUUACUUUAUUAUGCAAAGCAAUUGAACUCUAACUUCGCCUCCCAGAUUCACCUCUGUAUAUCCAAGGUCCACUGAAGGGCUCUGCUGAAUAAAAAGCUCAUCUACUUCUUAGCCACACAAAGGAUUUGUAGAACCUCUUAUGUGUUCUUCUAUAUUAUCUUCUCUCUUUUGGAAGUAUUUCUUGUUUUAUUUUAUUUUAUUUUAUUUUUUUAUUUUUCGCAGUACACGGGCCUCUCACUGUUGUGGCCUUUCCCGUUGCGGAGCACAGGCUCCAGACGCGCAGGCUCAGCGGCCAUGGCUCAUGGGCCCAGCCGCUCUGUGGCAUGUGGGAUCUUCCCGGACUGGGACACGAACCCACGUCCCCUGCAACGGCAGGUGGACUCUCAACCACUGUGCCACCAGGGAAGCCCUGGAAGUAUUUCUUGUUUUAAAUAGCAUUUACUUCUUCUUACCCCAGAAAUGGUUUUGCUUUGAAGGAUCUCUGGAGGGAAGGUAAGAAGUGGAUUUAUUUAGAGAGAAACACACUCCACAGACAGAGUGUGGGUCAUCUCAGAAGGCAAGACUGGCCUUGGGAGAAACACACUCCACAGGCAGAGUGUGGGCCAUCUCAGAAGCUCCUGCACUUCCAUCCAAGGCCUCCACAAGGGAGGGGACCCUGCCGAGAAUUCUGAGGACUCAAGACCCUCUUGGAUAUUCCUCAGCUCAGCCUUGGGGUGUUUGCCUGCCCCUGACAAGCAGAGUGACUAAGACGGGAAGGAAUUGAAUUUGAGAAUUCAUAAUUGGCAGCAUUGUGAUGGCUUCUUCCUAGUUUCUUCUGUGCAUGUCUCAAGGGUUUCCACAUCUGCAGACGGAAGAGCUUAAUCCUCCAUCAGUAUCCUCCGACAGCACAUUCAGUUGGGGGCAGUGUCUUAUCUUCCGACGUCUGUUCACCCUCAUGCUUCACACGUACUCUGCCACUGAUGGUUUCUUAGACUCUGGCUUUCUUCAGGCCCUUGAUAUCAACCAGUUACCCUUUGGUAAGAGAUUAAGCCAUUCCACUACUCUCCCAGAGGCAUUUGCAUUUAGAACUACAGGUAUAAUAGAAAUAAUGGAAGAUGUUGCAUUCCUGAGGGAAGGCGAUCCUGGAAUGUAUUAUUCAUUUGCUCAUUCUAGAACAUCCCAUCCUUCUGCCCUGCCACCCCCUCUCUCUAUUCCUGCUCGUGCCUUGGUAAACCCUACUUCCUCCAAGAAGACUUCCCCGACUCCUGUCCCUUCCAGGUGAGGCCAGUUUUAGGGCUCUGAACAGAUUCCAUUUGGCUUCCCAGUUGAGGGUGGAGGUGGCAGGGAUGGAUCUCAGGAAGAUGUAGCUGCAGGAUGGAUGUGCAUUAGGUCUCUGCAUUUCAAACUUCCAGUGAAAAAUAUAUCUUAUGUCCCAACUACCGCACACACCUACAUACAGAUAUAUAAAACUGAAACAAAAAUUUUGUAAAAAUAACACUCACUAUGUGUGAUGCAUUUGGAUAUUUUCUGUUCUAUUUAUUUUUUAAAGGAAAAUGCUGGUUAUAACCCAUUGAAUUGAUUUCACAGCCCAGUAAUGGGUCACAACCCACAGGGUGAAAAAUGCAGAGUGAGAUCAUUACUGCUCAGAACAACUCUGAACACAGCCAAGGGGCCCUGUGCCGAUGUUGCCCUUUGGGUGCCUCGAAGAGCUUGCAGAUGAUGGCACUGGCAGUGGUGUGGUCCACCUGGUGGUGCUCUGCUUUCUCCGUGGAGUCUCCUUUCAGGGCCCCAGUUGGUUGUGCCAUGAAGUGGCCACAGAUGCUUUCUCCGUGCUGUGGAAGGAGGUUGAAGUCUACAAAGCACUCCAUACACCCCUCAGAAAGAUGCUGGCUCAGUGUGAAGUGUCACAAGGCUGUAUACCUCACCCCAUUUGAUGAGGCUCCUCAUGGAGACAAAGCUUCCAGGCCCCGUGGGGCUCACUGGUGCUGCUCACCUGGGAGGGCUAAUGGAUAACAAAUAGAACAAAAGCAAAACAGGGAGCUCUUGCCUGCAGCAUCACAGUGACAGAAACAUCUCCUGGUUAGAGGAUGGAUGAUAAAUAUACAUAAUGAACAUUCCAGGGGGCAGUGAGUCUUGGAGCCCCAUCUCCCUUCGGAACUGGAAGUUACUGAAAACCGAACCCACAGAAAUAGCUACCUCAAAACCCCUGCAUUUAAGCCAGGUGUUUUAUCCCUCUGAGAUCCUCAAAGCCUGUUGACAUUUACUUAGUACACUUUUCUAAGAAAAGUGGCUAUCUGAUGUCUCAACCCACUGCAGAAGAAAAUUGCCUGGAAGGGUGGUGGUAGGUCUUUUCCAGAGAGAGACAUGUAGAUAACAGGAAAGUAAAAGCCAUGGGGAAGGAUAGAGAAACAGUAAGAAGGGGACACAAUCAUGUUAUUAUCUAGUUCCUUAGGGAAUGUUCCUAAUGACCACUUAUGUGGGGAAAGGACAUUUUUUAAAGCAUUAGAGAGCAGUGGACCACAUUUUAGCAAGAUUUCACUUUAAAGUGGUUGGGCAUUGAAGUUUCACUUUUCAGGAAAAGUAUUCAUGAGAACCUCAGUGAUUCUGCAUAAAUUAGGUGCUGUUGAACUGCCCCUGAUUAGGACUAGUCAUGGGUUUGAGGCAUGCUGUAAUCUCAGGUUCACGGGCAAGUCCUCCCCACCCAGCCCUAGUCAGUCUCAUAGCCUGAAACCCCUCCAUUACUGUUACUGUUGGGUUCCGUUCACCUGUGUGAAUCUGUGAAUAAAUUCUUUCCAAUCUGAAAGCUUCUUGAUAGUGGCUCCCGGAUAUUCUGAAGGUAGAUGUAGAGAGAGAACUCUGAUCUGGACCCCACCUGAGGAUGGGGUGGCCUAAAUGACCAGAGAGCAGGACAAAACCACUGGGAUUUGGACUAUGGUGAGCUUUUAGGGAGCAGUGGGGGGCAGGCUUGGAAGCCGAGUUCCACCCUUUUCACUGCUUUCACUACUUGAGGACAGCCCACUCACUGAGACAGAGCCAGGUCUCUGUUUCUUCCAUAGCCUGUCCCCUCGCGGCUCACUGGCCACCUGAUCCCCAGAUCUGCUUCUGUGAGUUACCCUGAGUGACUGCAGGGGUGCUCCAAUAAGUAAGGGGACCUCAAAGAAAAGCCAGCUGUUUCUGAGACAAAGAUCAUUUAUUCCAUAUUGUCUGAGAAAGCAACCUUUAAGUAGAAGGCAGUGGGGUUGGUGGUGUGUCACACCACCAGGAGGUUUCUGUCUUAACAGUAGAUUGCUACAUAGUAUGCAUGCAUAAUACAUUACAGUUCUAGUAUUGAUAUUUCCAAAUGCCCUGUGACUACAAAAUGAUGAAAUUUCUCCCCGGGGGAGAAUGACAACAAUAAACUAAAGUAACAAUACCAAAAGUCUCUGAAAAGAUCUCAGGGGUUUGCGGGACUUCGGUGGUGGCGCGGUGGUUAAGAAUCCGCCUGCCAGUGCAGGAGACAUGGGUUUGGGCCCUGGUCUGGGAAGAUCCCACAUUCCACGGAGCAAGUAUGCUCGUGUGCCACAACUACUGAGCCUGUGCUCUACAGCCCAUGAGCCACAACUACUGAGCCUGCGCGCCCAGAGCCCGUGCUCCUCGAGAAGAGAAGCCACCGCAAUGAGAAGCCAGUGCACUGCAACGAAGAGUAGCCCCCGCUCGCCACAACUAGAGAAAGCCCAUGCGCAGCAACGAAGACCCGAUGCAUCCAAAAAUAAAAAU
Molecule: long non-coding RNA, 7935 nt
Organism: Orcinus orca (killer whale)
Lineage: Eukaryota; Metazoa; Chordata; Mammalia; Artiodactyla; Delphinidae
Exons: 5
Source: RefSeq, a predicted model, not a curated record